GAUCUCCUUGGCUACGUUUAGAAAUAAAGAUUCAAUAUAAGUACAGAAUGUGAUUUGCAUAAUGAGAAAGAUAUUUGUGUUGUCGUGGCACUAGAACAGCACUGUGCCACUGAAUAAUGCUAUUUACCAUUCACGACUGAGGACAAGUUGGGAGCACGGUCGUCCUCCAAUCACAGGGUUGGCAGUCCGAUCCCAGGCCUGCCUAAUCCGUAUGUCGAUGUGUCCUUGACAAUGAACCCCAACAUUGUUCCUGUAGCUGCGACUACAGUGUGUGAAUGUUAGUUACUGAUGGGCAGGUGGCUCUGUGUAUGGUAGCUCCUGUCAUUUGUGUAUGAAUGGGUGAAUGAUGUCAUGUAGUGUUAAAGCGCUUUGAGUCGGAAGACUAGAAAAGCGCUGUAUUCAGCAUUCACCCUUUACUAAUGUAGUCGGUAUGUCACUCAAUGUAUUGACUUUUGUUUUAACACAUUAACAGCUGGGCCCUUCUGACGUGUACAGUUUUGUGAAUGGCUUGGCUUCGGUACAAGCAGAUCUGCUUGGGCACAUUGUUUUGGUUUACAUGCAGAUGCCAGGAAAAGAUGUCUAUGAGAACCCAUUCCGACAUAGGCGGAUAAACUACUUUAGAGCUAUUGAAAUUAUUAGCCAUAUCAGAACCAUUGUAUAUAGGUCUACAUACAUGUGUGUGUAUAAUAAAUAUAUAUAUACUUACUUUACUCAGCCACUGAGGUGUGUGUAACUCUGCAAUGAGUUUAUUAUUCCAGAUGUGUUUUGAGAAGACAACUAACAAACUCAUCCAGCUGAGGAAACUGGCUACCAUUAUGGUGGCAAAUCAGUCAAACACGUGAAUUCAUUGGCAAGUGACAGAGAUGCGAGAUGUGAUAAUCAGUUUAACCUGUCAUGGCUGCCACACAGAGUGCACGGGAACCGUUAUCUACUUGGGACGAGGACGCUCAGAAUAACAUAAGGCAUUGAGUUCUUCAGCGUUUCUUCUUCAAGCUCAUGUGACAAUAGAUUCCAGCAUACGCCUUCACACUCCCAGAGACUUGUUUACCACAAGAAUUAGAUUCUGAUAACAUAUUCUCAAACUCUACGAAUGUAAUUACUAUUGACUAUGAUGUACCACUGAGUCUGAUAAAAAAAAAAGUCAAACAAGCCCCACUAUGAAAUGUAAUAAAUGAACUCCAUCAGCUUCUUUUACAAUUCUGUUUGUCUGCAACAUGGAACCAGCUGCUUUGAAGAAUGCCCACGCUCAGAGAAGAGUGAUCCAUCCAUCACAGUCAAGAGGGAACCAAUGCAUCACAUCCGCUGCAGGAGAAGGGAUGUUGUGGUUCACCAAAAAAAUACCACAUAGCAAAUAUUCAUUUAAAUCCAGUCAAGCUUUGGCUGGUUUAUAGAAGGAAGCUGUAUCCAAUCAUUAGUCAUUCAGUUGUUUGGUGCCAUUGGUGAAGAGUCAUAAGGGAAUUUUAUUAUAUAAAACUUCCCUUUUUACUGAGAAAGUAGUCCCAAGAUUGUCAAAAGCAUCUACUUUGGGUCUUGUUUCAACUCAUUACUUGCUCUCCCUGACCUGAGCUGAGGGUAUGACUCAUAAGUGUGUAUCAACUUAUAAUAUGACUGCACAGGCGUUCAAAGAAAUGUAAACGUUCUAAAAUCACAUCAUAAAUUGCAGUCAGCGGGCUUUACACACACAGCAUCUUCUGUCCUGGACCUUCACAACGACCCAGGAAAAACUCCCACCAGAUAGGAGGAGAAUCCGGAAACAGGAAUAUUUGUUACAAAAAUAUGUUAGACAUACAAGGAAUUUGACUUUGCGGUUAGUGCAUAACAUCAGACAGUAAGACAAUGGACAACCAGACAGAUGAGACAUAGUGUCUAUAUAAUCAUAAAUGCCCCUUUCCUUUGACGUUCAGCCAAUCCUCACUCUUUUAUGCUCUAGCCAUUUUGGUUCCUGAGUGGCUAAGGAAAAUGUCGACAGUUCUGCGUGAGUUUAGUGGUAUCUAAUAGGAUAAAGCAAUUAGAAAAAGUGGUUGAAACAGGCAAAUCAGCCACAUUUUGACUGCUACCGUUUCCAGGCCGGAAAUGUUUUUUAACGGGGAUUAAUCGGAUUAUGCGCAGAAUUCAAUGAUGAAGUAGCAUGGUGAAAGGUGGGGAGCACACUUUCAACAGCAGACAGAUUAGUAUAUAGUAUUUAUUGGACACAUGUCUUUGGCCACAUUCAAUUGCAUACGCGCUAUGCAGGUGGCUUUUCUGGGUUGAUGUCAUAGGACAGCGAUUCAGUUAGGUAACGUUAGCUUUGGCCUUAAUGCAUUCAUUGUACUGUGCUUUGUGGCUGUUCUUCAGGUGGUUGAAGCAGUUAUUGUGUGUGGCCAGUGAAGCUGAGCCAAACUCUUUAUUUCUUCUUUCUUCGGGCUUCUUUGCCUUCUUCUCCUUCCGUACAAAAGUUUGGCACGCAUCUUCUCCCGCACCGUUGCUCGGAAUUGUCUCAACCUUUCAGCAAUUGUCGGAACCCAUUGGGAAUCGUGUCCUAUUAUUUGGCUAAGAGAAAUGACUUUUUCCCCAAAAAAGAACAUUUUGAGCUCCAAACUCCAAUUGGAAAAUCAGAGUUUUAAAAAAAAAGAGGAAAAAGAAAACGUGACCCUAACUGCUGGGGGGAAUUUUCUAGGUUGUAUUGCUAUGCGGCACAGACACAACUCUAACGCAGUCUGUGCAUAUAAUUUUAUCUUGAUUAACGUCACUUGCCCUGAAUCCCAAAAAUGUUUUGAGGGACUAGCUCCUUGCCUUAAGGUCGCUGGUCGUGCACGGUAAAAGGACAAGAAAAACGCCUGGUGACGCGUAGAUUACAAAACAAGUCAGUUCUCAAUGUGAAAAAAAACAUGCUGUAUAGGCUAUUUAUGAUGACGUAGGUAGUACAUGAGUGUUCCUUUAACUUAUGUUGUCAGUGUAAUUGACAGGCUGCUUAACUGGUUAACUCUUAAAUUCAACAUAUUUUUUCAGGCAGUGAUAGGACAGGCAAUGAUGCAGAGAGCACAGGGAGAGGAGAAACACCAGGUCCAAUAGAGAGAGAAGCACAGAGGAGCCAUGAACCACAGAACACGCGUUCUGUGGUUCAUGGCUCCUCUGUGCAAGGCAGGACCUGACGUGGAGGACAAGGAGGCCCUCUGGGCACUACUGUAAAAAGGAGACUCCAUAUGUAGAUAGUUCUUAAUCUGCAAUUGUGUUGUUGUGUUGUGUUGACAUACUUUUCUUCACUGUUUUCAUAGAUUUAAUGAACUACAAACUACUAACACAUUUAUUCAUUGUCAUUGAUUGUAUAUGACUUUUACUGAUAACAUAA
Long non-coding RNA from Gasterosteus aculeatus aculeatus (three-spined stickleback), 3328 nucleotides. Lineage: Eukaryota; Metazoa; Chordata; Actinopteri; Perciformes; Gasterosteidae. The record is from Ensembl.